UGGAACUCACCUCUGGUGGUGCAGCACAAAGCAUGUAAAAACAAUGGUAGUUUCUCUCUGGGUCUGAGACUUGGCAAACACGUGACCUUUCAAGAAGAUAUGUCCUAACUGCAGCCCCAGAGAUCUUCCCAUGCUUAUCAAAUUGAAUUUCAACAAAUUUACCAAAACGACUGGUACGACGACUCAGUCAUGUCAAUUUCUUGUAAGGGAAAAAUAUGAAAAGAAAACCAAAAAAUAAUAGUGAUAAACCUUUGAUUUCAUUUUUUGGUUUACCUGGAAUUGUUGUUCUUCACGGUCUUUGCAUUUCCAAAUGCUUCUAAAACUGGGUUGGACUGGAAAAGCAGAAUUAUGAAUUUGCAUUGAACUCUAGUAGUAGACCAUUCAAGUAUAAUAAGCAGCAAAUAGUAAUUAGUGCCCACCUCCAAAACUUGUUGCUCGACUGUUCUUCCUUCAGUUCCAGAACGCCCGCCCAUGAAUGCGAGAUACCUCAUUAACAUUUUCGUUGUCUCAGUUUUGCCAGCUCCACUCUCUCCACUGACCAAGAUAGAUUGGCUCCCAUGUUCAUUUAUCAAUGCCCUGAUAUGUGCAGUUUAAACUUGUUAAAUUUGGCAAGUCAUUCAUUUAAUGUGUGGUAUAACCUAAUAAUUUCAGUUGAACUGAUAUACCUAUAACAGGCAUCUGCCACAGCAAAAAGAUGCGGACUUAGCUCUCCAAAUGGGGCUCCCUUGUACUGCUGCAUCAUAUGGAUAUCAUACAGAUGUGGAAGUCUCCGAAAUGGAUUCACCGCAAUUAGGAUAUUCCCUGUGUAAGUCUGCAAAUUUGGGAUGUUUUUUACAUCGAUAAGACUUGCUUUCUGCAGCUACUCCUGUGAAGUUCACGAUUGAAUGAAAAAGUAUGACUUACAUAUAUCUCAUUUAGAGCAUACCGACAAGCAAGGUUAUUUAGAACCCCAGGCUCAUGUAGGUAAGCUAACUUGGUCAUGUCAUCAACCCCUGCUGGUGGUGCUUCGGUGUCCUUUGGGUAUAUGCUAGAAAUAGGAGCAACUGUCUGGAGCAGAAAGUAGUGUUAUGGCUUAAUAUAAAUAAAUGUUGGCUGUUCACAUGUUAAGAACAUUAGUUUGUAGAAAUUAUGUUUAUUGCAUCCUAAAAAUAUCAACAGAGCACAUUCGUAAAUGUUCAUGGUAGAGGAUACCUAUCAUGAAAAUCAAUAAUAGUUCAAUGUAAGGCAAAAGGAAAAGCUGCACAAACUGUCCUACAGGUAUAUUGAUGUUUUAUAUCUGAUUGAUUAUAUUUAACUAUUAUCGUCCUAUUUGUUCCAUGACCGAUCCCAUUUGCUUGGGAACUUCUGUCCUAGACUGUGUUUCAAUAAGCUUAUAAAAGCUAAUAAGCUCCUAAUUUUCAUAUAAUAUGCAUUACGACUUUGAUUUGACACUGUAAUAUUGUUCAGACAGCAUCUUUUGCAAUCAUAAUAUAUUCUCUGAAAGAUGCUACCAAUAUCAGAUUUCUGUGAGGUUCUGACUUUAUUGAUUAGAGUAUGACUGCUUACCUUCCUCCCAUUAGUUGUGACUACUGUAGCAUUUGAGCCCUUAAUUUCUGUAACUUCUCCAUCAAUCCAAGCAUCAUCAGGAUCCUCAAUCCACACUUGGGAUCCAACUAUGAUGUUUACAGGAGUUCCCUGAAUCACAAAAGAUAAAAUUCAAUAUUUCCUUCAUCAAUUGAAACAGAAGAACAUGAGAUAUUGAUCAUAGAGAAGUCUCACCAUGGAAGUACUUUAGACUAUCUGAUCAUGGAACUCAACAGAGAAUUGUUAUAAGAGACUGAUGAAUUGAUAUAUUGAGGGGAAAAGGACGAAGGGAAGAGAAAUGAAUUUCAGAGAGAAUGUGGUGUUCUUAAGGAAAUGAUGAAUGGAUGAAUGGAUGAAUGUAGAAACAGAAAAGUAAAAAAAAAAAAAGAAUGUUGAAAAAGAAUGUUUCAAAGGCAGGCUAAAAGCAGAGGUAAUGAAGAUGGUGGUAACUCAAAAGCAAAAGGCAGAGCAGUCACCCCUCACCACCACCCCUUCCCCACAUCAUGUCAGCUUUUAUUCUACCAAGUCCACAUAGGAUGCUGACUUGGCACCUGUACAGCUUUGAAAUACAGAAACUUCUGCUACUUUUGGGUUGGCUAUUUGUACAAAUACAUUGCUUAAAUUUACAGGCAAAAUCAUUUUCAAAUUGAUACCUUAAUAAAAUAGAUCAUAGUUUUUAUUUAAAGAUUUUAUUCUCUAUCUAUAACUUGUGCUAUGCACUGAAAAGCCAGGGUGUUUGUCAUGAUGCUGUGCAUUACCAAAGAGUUGUGGGUUGGACCAGGUCUGAUUAAUGUAUAGUUAAUAUGUGAGUGAAGGUGGUGUCUUUUUGCAUAAUUGUUGGCUUUACUUUCUCUUAAAUCAAUGGGGGUUAAAGAUGAUUAGAUCUAAAUUCGCUACAGAAAUGCCCCACUUACUGCCUUUGCUACCCCCAUCUUUACUGAGCUACUUUCACCUGUUCUCUUCCCUUCUUUUUUUUCAGGUUAACUUUUUCGCCACCUGGGGUUUCUAUCAAAUUCAACACCAGGAUGCAGGCAGGUAUUACUAUGUUAAAGACUUUUAAGAUUCUCCCAGAAUUCUUACUAAUAUUUUAAGAAUUUAUGUUGUGCUCAAAUUGUGGACUUUCACAGAGUUACACAAAUUCAUGACAAUGUUACAUGACAUUGUAUUUGUAUUUCCUCAAGACUGGCCGCACUCUGAUUUUCUUCUCCCAUUUUGAUCUACUAUUGAUUUCAAGAUUUUCCUGAAGUUUCAGCUUUACGUCACUGGCAUCCAAAAAUUUUGCAGUGAUUUUAGCUUUUAAGAAUAGGAAAAGGAGUUGAAAUGGGGAAUUCUUGAAAUGCCAGUCAUGAGUCAUACUGAGGCAAAAAGGACCACCAUGGGGAUUGUAGUUGUAGAAAAGAGAUGUACAGAAGUUAGAAAAAUAGCUAGCUGCCAGUGGAUCACCUGGAAACUAACUGGAUUUAACUUACAUAAUUUGACAUUGUAAAAUUUUUAACAUGUUGUAACACUUGUCUUGCUUUAGGCUACUAAUUUCACUUUUUA
RNAcentral lists this long non-coding RNA (3105 nucleotides) under Nicotiana tabacum (common tobacco). RNAcentral's name for it is "long non-coding RNA (NTAB_LNC000322)". Lineage: Eukaryota; Viridiplantae; Streptophyta; Magnoliopsida; Solanales; Solanaceae. The record is from RNAcentral.